Molecule: long non-coding RNA, 2590 nt
Organism: Triticum urartu
Lineage: Eukaryota; Viridiplantae; Streptophyta; Magnoliopsida; Poales; Poaceae
Source: RefSeq, a predicted model, not a curated record
AGAAAUUCUCCUGGACGGAGGGCCAGAAAGGCAUGUCCAUUCGAGGCCGUCGCGAAUUGGCGUCGGAGCCGUCGCUCGGGUCGUCAGCGUAUUCCUGAUCCGUGGAUCAGUCUCCGGUAACGACGUCACUGGGUUGGAGUAAAUGCGAUAUGGGUAGCUGGGUGUAGCUUGCUCCUACCUCUCCCCGCUGCCGCUCUGGUUCUAUCGAGGGCGGCUCGGCGGCGAAACCUAGGGUUGCUAACUCUCUCGUCCAGCGCGCAUGGAGUUCUUGAUGCAGCCAUUCAACAGUAGAACUCAUAAGCCACAGGCAUCUGAAAACUCCAUAGAGCAGAUUGAUCCAAAGACCCCUGGCUGGACACGAAGACAGACGGCAAAAAGACCAGAAAUAACCUUUUAAGGUAGCUUCCAGCCUGACAACCACCCCGACCGCAGGCAUGGUUGGGCUACGCCUUGGGGGAGGUAUCAUAAGCACUGUCGUGUAUAAGACAGUAGCAGAUGGUCGUAUCGCCUUCAACAAGGAUGGGUGUGGUAGGAAUUCAUGGAGGAGAACGACCUAAAGGUUGGCAGAGCGGUGCUAAUCACCAUCAGGAACAGUGCACUGGACGAACUGACACAUGAUGGUUGUCGUCAACCCGAUCUAAGAUGACCAUCAGGGUCAAUGCUAAAGUUGUCACCGCCUUUUGUUCUGCUGUGUGUUAACUAUGUGGCGCCGCAGUUUGAUGAACUAUGUUUGUUUUCUCUUAUUUUGUUAUUGCGGUGGUAUGCACCGUCAAAAAGUAUGUAAUAUGGAGUCUGAAACUUUUUUUAUGAUUUCGUGUGGUACUUGAUUCAUAGGUUAUCAGUAUUUCCUAGUAUCUAUUUUUUCCAGCAAUUUCAGUUCUGCUACGACCAUAGUUUUUGCCUUUUUCAUUUUUGAUGUAGGUUCUAAAUGCUAGUCCUCUGUUUAUCCAGUCUUAAUUUUAUGUCAUUGGUCAGUUAUUAGACUCUUUUUUGUUAAUGUCAGUAUUUAGUUUUUUUUUGUCCAUUCAGAUGUGGUUUUUCCUAUGUUCUUUAGUUACUUGGUGGAGGGCUGGAACAGGAGAGGCUGUGUGUUUAGUUUUCUUCAGCUUUGUUUUUCUUUUUGGAAUUUUUGCACCAAGCAUUUCAUUGCUGGGAGUAACUUUCAAUUAUCUGAAAUUCAGUAUACUAUCAAAGGACCCAAGUAAGUUCCCCUCUUACUCGAAGCACUCAAAACACUGCUAUAUAUUCAUUUUUUUUAAUUCAGCGCACUAACAUAAAAAAUAUUUUUAUCCAAUCCAGCAUACAGGGAAAAUGGAAGCUCAGGCAAAGAAGCUGGAUGCUCCUUGUGCCAGUCCUCAGUCUGCUAUGCCGUAUUUUUGUUCUCUGAACUUUCGGGGUCAGUGGUGGAAAUGAAAGGCUUGGACUGGGGUACUAUACCAGGGGAGGUCGGGGGCUGUAGCAUGGCCCACUGACAGGGGAAAGUAGGGAAGACGUGAGACUUUUUUUUGUGUGUUAACGGGUUGGCUGGGCGGCCCGUUAGGUACAGGACGACACGCUAAUCAAUCGAAGGCAAAGAGGCCGGUGUCGACCUGAUCCCAGGAAGGAAAUUGAUGCUUUUUUUAAACUGAGUUUAGACCGAGUACUCAGUGUAGACACCUGUCAAACCAUGUUUGGAACAAAAAUGGCCUGAAACAAAUAUAAAAACAGACGUCUGAUGUUUAGUCACUCCCAAUAUAUUAGGCUUGAAUAUUUCUGUAGGAUAGAAGAUGACUGGUAGUUCUUGAUGCUUACGUCAUGCAUAAAAAAAUGGAUUCCAACAAUUGACAUGCAGCAAGUAAUUUUGAAGCUGUACAUAAGUUGGAAAACUCUGAUUGUCUGUAAUGAAUAAUUGUGUUCAAAACGAUUUAUGUUAUAUUUCAGAGAGAACGCGUCGUACGAAGGGCUGAGUAACAACAUACAAGAUUCUGCAUGAUUUGUCGUCGACAGGGACACAAGCGGACAACAUGCCCUCAUCACGGGGAUGUGCCAAAGCAGCCAUGGAAGCCAGGGAGAUGUACAAAUUUCCGUGUCGAAGGGCAUCGCCGAAACAACUGGAGGAGGAGGUCGUAUGGAUCAAAAUGGUUUCUUUCUCACUGGAUCUAGUGUCACCAGCUCCAAAGACUGCUCGCUGGGUGGGUUGCUGGCGAUGUAGGAAGGUGCAGCUUCAGAGUCAUCAGUGAAUCAAGGGACACAAUCUCAGCCAAGCAAUCCAAGUGUAUAUCUGGGCGCUGCAGUCCUUGCAUGGAACAAGAGGCAAAAUCUCGUCAUAGCCUACGGACGAGGACGAUGCAGACAUGGCUAGGAAGAGGUGGAGCUGCUGGCAAUGGCUCGAGUGGGUUCUGGUGGAGCUGCAGAAUGGGUGAGGUGUCGCCUGGAUGGAGGAGAUUAUGAAGGAAACAAUUCCUUACUUAACACUAUCUUAAAUUUCGUUUCCUUAUUUGACACUGAAAAACUUUUCUUAUGUAACAACGAGUCUAAAUUUUAUGCCUUUUAUAACACUUUCGUCUAUUUUGAGCCUAAAUGACAACUGAAAAGAUCCUUUUGCCCCUCA